AUUGAACGCUGGCGGCAGGCCUAACACAUGCAAGUCGAGCGAGCGGCGGACGGGUGAGUAAUGUAUGGGGACUGCCCGAUAGAGGGGGAUAACUACUGGAAACGGUAGCUAAUACCGCAUACUAUCGGAUAACCCAUAUGGGAUUAGCUAGUGGGUGGGGUAAUGGCUCACCUAGGCGACGAUCCCUAGCUGGUCUGAGAGGAGGAGCAGCCACACUGGGACUGAGACACGGCCCAGACUCCUACGGAGGCAGCAGUGGGGAAUAUUGCACAAUGGGGGAAAGCCUGAUGCAGCCAUGCCGCGUGUAUGAAGAAGGCCUUAGGGUUGUAAAGUACUUUUGGUCGGGAGGCGUUACCGACAGAAGAAGCACCGGCUAACUACGUGCCAGCCGCCGCGGUAAUAC
RNAcentral lists this ribosomal RNA (403 nucleotides) under uncultured bacterium. RNAcentral describes it as "partial 16S ribosomal RNA". It matches the Rfam family "Bacterial small subunit ribosomal RNA", at positions 30 to 526 of the family's 1533-position model. The record is from RNAcentral.